This 110-nucleotide transfer RNA is filed under the name Xanthomonas sp. 3498. RNAcentral's name for it is "tRNA-Phe". The record is from RNAcentral. Lineage: Bacteria; Pseudomonadati; Pseudomonadota; Gammaproteobacteria; Lysobacterales; Lysobacteraceae.
AGUAGUGCUGCUAAUUGAUUCGCUGCGACCUUUUAAAAUCAAAUGGUUACAGUUCAGCUUGCGGAUUGAAAAUCCCCGUGUCGGCGGUUCGAUUCCGUCCUCGGCCACCA